RNAcentral lists this ribosomal RNA (274 nucleotides) under uncultured prokaryote. RNAcentral's name for it is "partial 16S ribosomal RNA". It matches the Rfam family "Bacterial small subunit ribosomal RNA", at positions 524 to 798 of the family's 1533-position model. The record is from RNAcentral.
CACGGGGUUGCGAGCGUUGUCCGGAAUUACUAGGCGUAAAGGGCAGGCAGGCGGAUCCAUAAGUUUAUCGUUUAAGGCGUCGGCUUAACCGGCGUAGGGCGGUAGAUACUGUGGAUCUGGAAUGCGGUUGGGGAAGACAGAAUUCCUGGUGUAGCGGUGGAAUGCGCAGAGAUCAGGAGGAAUACCGAAGGCGAAGGCAGUCUUCCAAGCCGUUAUUGACGCUCAACUGCGAAGGUGUGGGUAUCAAACAGGAUUAGAUACUCCUGUAGUCCCU